CCUGCCCCUAGAGGUGUUGCAGGUAUGGCUGCCGUGUCACAUGCGUGCCGUAGGUGGCAGAGAGGAGAGGGCCUUCAUAUAUGCUCCGUGUUCUGACCUGAGGACAUCCGAAUGAUUAGUAGCCUAACCCU
Meriones unguiculatus (Mongolian gerbil) is the source of this 131-nucleotide small nucleolar RNA. The record is from Ensembl. NCBI's taxonomy places the organism in Eukaryota, Metazoa, Chordata, Mammalia, Rodentia, Muridae.